AUACGGAGGGUGCAAGCGUUAAUCGGAAUUACUGGGCGUAAAGCGUGCGUAGGUGGUUUGUUAAGUUAGAUGUGAAAGCCCCGGGCUCAACCUGGGAACUGCAUUUGAAACUGGCAUACUAGAGUAUAGGAGAGGAAAGUGGAAUUUCAGGUGUAGCGGUGAAAUGCGUAGAUAUCUGAAGGAACAUCAAUGGCGAAGGCAGCUUUCUGGACUAAUACUGACACUGAGGUACGAAAGCGUGGGUAGCAAACAGGAUUAGAAACCCGAGUAGUCC
This 274-nucleotide ribosomal RNA is filed under the name uncultured bacterium. RNAcentral describes it as "partial 16S ribosomal RNA". It matches the Rfam family "Bacterial small subunit ribosomal RNA", at positions 523 to 796 of the family's 1533-position model. The record is from RNAcentral.